RNAcentral lists this ribosomal RNA (241 nucleotides) under Blastocystis sp. Its description in RNAcentral is "partial 18S ribosomal RNA". It matches the Rfam family "Eukaryotic small subunit ribosomal RNA", at positions 87 to 348 of the family's 1831-position model. Lineage: Eukaryota; Bigyra; Opalinata; Blastocystidae. The record is from RNAcentral.
CUGCGAAGGCUCAUUAUAUCAGUUAUAGUUUAUUUGAUGAAGAAAACUAAUUGGAUAACCGUAUAAUUCUAGAGCUAAUACAUGUAUAAAGUCUUGUAGACUGCAUUUAUUAGAAUGAAAACCAUAGGUUUCGGCCUAUUCGUGAGUAAUAAUAACUAAUCAUAUCGUAUGCUUAUGUAACGAUGUGUCUUUCAAGUUUCUGCCCUAUCAGCUUUCGAUGGUAGUGUAUUGGACUACCAUG